This 301-nucleotide ribosomal RNA is filed under the name uncultured bacterium. RNAcentral's name for it is "partial 16S ribosomal RNA". It matches the Rfam family "Bacterial small subunit ribosomal RNA", at positions 509 to 808 of the family's 1533-position model. The record is from RNAcentral.
CAGCCGCCGCGGUAAUACGUAGGGUGCAAGCGUUAAUCGGAAUUACUGGGCGUAAAGCGUGCGCAGGCGGUUAUAUAAGACAGAUGUGAAAUCCCCGGGCUCAACCUGGGAACUGCAUUUGUGACUGUAUAGCUAGAGUACGGCAGAGGGGGAUGGAAUUCCGCGUGUAGCAGUGAAAUGCGUAGAUAUGCGGAGGAACACCGAUGGCGAAGGCAAUCCCCUGGGCCUGUACUGACGCUCAUGCACGAAAGCGUGGGGAGCAAACAGGAUUAGAUACCCCCUAGUCCCUGUCUCUUAUACC